CAGAGGGGCUUUCAAGAGUUUAAAUAUGUUUCACUAUCAAGGUUCCCGAACAGAUUUACCUUAGUUUCCCAAAUAAAGCACUGGGUAGCUGCACAAACCAGGUUGGAGAGCCCAGGCAUAGAGUUUGGGGGGGAAUAUCACCCGUCGUGCUACGAGAGGAUGCAUGCUCUUCAAACAACAAUGCUGCCAUAGUGCAGCUGGAGGUGGGAGACAAUGUCUAGGCCAGGCUCUUGGCUAACAGGAGAGUCUACGAAGAUUCUGGAAACGACAACACCUUCCGAAAGAACGGUUAGUACAGCAUGCCUAACUGACCCUUGGGUGCCAGAGUGUUUCUGUGCUGCGGUGGAGAAGCGGUCCACCGGGACCAUCACUGAAGAGCCAGGGUCCCAGAUACAUUGCGCUCACGACCAUCAGUAUACAACCGAGUCCUGCCCCUAUACGCCACAGAUGGAGCUGACGGAGAGUGAGAUCAGCCAUCCAUAAAAGGGAAUCGGAGUGGAAUUGUUUUUCCGUAUAUUUUUUUUACCCGUUUCAAAUGGAUGUGCUACCUUGUCGCGGUCCUUCUGUUUCGACUCUCUCAACCCAUCAAUGCUCAGCUAUGAAAAGCCAACUGACAUUUGCGCCUGUUGUGUUUAACUUUUGUACCCUCUAUAACCACCGUGGUUAUUAUUUUGUUGUAAAAAGGGCUUUUGUAAAAUACAUUUCAUUGAUUGCUGUGCUGGAUGCUGUGUAUUCACUAACUGUCUGAGUGAUGGGACAUUUAUAGUAUCUGUAACAUAUUUUGGUGUGGAUUUAAUCUGCAUCUUAACUUCUUAAAGUGACAAUCAGCAGUCGAAACAAAGUGUCUCCCUGCUUCUCUUUUGGUGAAAAACUGAGGGAUGGGGCUGGAGAAAUAACCACUCAAAUUUCAUACAGAGAUAAAUGCAAGAACUGACCAUCCAUGAUAUCAAAACUGUAAUCCUGUUUCUAUGAUCUGUUUCCACUACCAUGUACCCAGUUCGCGUUGGAUAAAGGUGUCUGCUAAAAUGGCAUAUAUUAUUAGUCUACUUUGACUCCAACUACCUGCACAGUGUAGUUACCAUUCCAUUCCAAUAGAUGGCAGCCAAAUCUAGUUGAAGUCACUACUUUAACGACAGGGACAUGGGAUUAGUGCACACUGAAAAUAGUUUUAUCUUCAAAGCAAGUUUCUGGUUACACUUGAACCUGUUGUUAUAGUGGACAAGCUAACAUAUACUAUUUUUAUAUAAGGCGCAUGCAUUAUGUCUAUGACUUCAGUUAGGCUAGAUUUACUAAAUAAACUGGUUUUAUUCAAUG
This is a long non-coding RNA of Oncorhynchus kisutch (coho salmon), 1314 nucleotides long. RefSeq lists it as uncharacterized. Lineage: Eukaryota; Metazoa; Chordata; Actinopteri; Salmoniformes; Salmonidae. The record is from RefSeq and is a predicted model, not a curated record. The transcript has 2 exons.